GCGCACCAGUCGAGAAUACUUUACAAUGCGCGAAAGCGCGAUAGGGGAACCCCAAGUGUUCUUUCCUUCUUGGAAAGAACUUUUAUCGUAUUUUUAAAUGAUACGAAGAAUAAGGGCUGGGCAAAUAGGUGCCAGCAGCCGCGGUAAUACCUAUGGCCCGAGUAGUGACCAUUUUUAUUGAGUCUAAAGCGUUCGUAGCUGGCUUGGGAAGUCCGUAUUUAAAUCAUCCAGCUUAACUGGAUGACAUGGUACAGAUACUCCCGAGCUAGAGGUCGGAAGAGGGGUUGGGAACUUUUUGGGUAGGAGUAAAAUCCUUUAAUCCAAAAAAGACCACCAGUAGCGAAGGCGCAACCCCAGGACGAACCUGACGGUGAGGGACGAAGGCUAGGAGAACAAACCGGAUUAGAUACCCGCGUAGUCC
This 421-nucleotide ribosomal RNA is filed under the name uncultured bacterium. RNAcentral describes it as "bacterial SSU rRNA". It matches the Rfam family "Archaeal small subunit ribosomal RNA", at positions 330 to 747 of the family's 1478-position model. The record is from RNAcentral.